CCUACGGGAGGCAGCAGUGGGGAAUAUUGCGCAAUGGGCGAAAGCCUGACGCAGCGACGCCGCGUGGGGGAUGAAGGCCUUCGGGUUGUAAACCCCUUUCAGCAGGGACGAAGCGAAAGUGACGGUACCUGCAGAAGAAGCGCCGGCUAACUACGUGCCAGCAGCCGCGGUAAUACGUAGGGCGCAAGCGUUGUCCGGAAUUAUUGGGCGUAAAGAGCUCGUAGGCGGUCUGUUGCGUCCGCUGUGAAAACCCAGGGCUUAGCCCUGGGCUUGCAGUGGAUACGGGCAGACUAGAGGCAGGUAGGGGAGAAUGGAAUUCCCGGUGUAGCGGUGAAAUGCGCAGAUAUCGGGAGGAACACCGGUGGCGAAGGCGGUUCUCUGGGCCUGACCUGACGCUGAGGAGCGAAAGCGUGGGGAGCGAACAGGAUUAGAUACCCUGGUAGUCCACGCCGUAAACGUUGAGCGCUAGGUGUGGGGUCCUUCCACGGAUUCCGUGCCGCAGCUAACGCAUUAAGCGCCCCGCCUGGGGAGUACGGCCGCAAGGCUAAAACUCAAAGGAAUUGACGG
Molecule: ribosomal RNA, 567 nt
Filed under: uncultured bacterium
Lineage: Bacteria
Description: bacterial SSU rRNA
Rfam family: Bacterial small subunit ribosomal RNA
Source: RNAcentral